Dipodomys spectabilis (banner-tailed kangaroo rat) is the source of this 169-nucleotide long non-coding RNA. RefSeq lists it as uncharacterized. The transcript is spliced from 3 exons. The record is from RefSeq and is a predicted model, not a curated record. NCBI's taxonomy places the organism in Eukaryota, Metazoa, Chordata, Mammalia, Rodentia, Heteromyidae.
UACAAAUGUAACAAUUGUGGAAAGUCCUUUAUCAAUUCACAUCAAAAAAUCCAUAAUAGAAUUCACACAGGUGAGAAACCUUAUGAAUGUAACAAAUGUUGAAAGUCCUUCUCCUGGAAUUCAGAUUGCAACACACAUAAGAGAAUUCACACUGGAGAGAAACCUUAUG